Molecule: long non-coding RNA, 440 nt
Filed under: Anser brachyrhynchus (Pink-footed goose)
Lineage: Eukaryota; Metazoa; Chordata; Aves; Anseriformes; Anatidae
Description: lncRNA (ENSABRG00000006081.1)
Source: RNAcentral
AACUUUUUGGUAACAAUUUAGACAUUUUAAGUACAAAUAAUAUACUUUUUUUUUUCUUUUUUUUCCCCAGAUGUGGUUGCAUCAAACAGAUCUAUUUCUGCAGCCAGUCCUAGGAUCUUACAAAGGUCAUGUUUCUUCUCUUAUUUUGAAGAAUCCUGACAUAGUUGAGAUUAGAAGAGCUUUAACAGAGGAGGCUGGAAGAGGCUUGGCCUGAGUGACUACUGAAAGGAUACCUGAAAGGAAUGACGCAAGUGAGAACUUGGGCAUAUGAGAGCCUUUUGACAAGUUCAGGCUAUAUCCGGAUGUGAGAACAUGCUUGCCUGUUAGGCAAGUUGGCAACUGGGAAUGCGCUCAGACUCCCACUCCAUCAGUAAUUUAGACCAGAGGUUGUCAGCCUGUGGCUCAUGAAUGAUUUUGGACUUAGAGCUGAUAGAAGGCCA